UGCAUUGAGUGACCCCUUGAUUCUAACGUAAAAAUAAUUUCUCCAGCAGCACUUCUUUGUUUAUUGAUUCUCAGUUGCUGUAUAUAGCAACCAUGUUAUGUUUACUGUGGACAGAUGCCCAGUUACCGGAAAAAAUAAUUUCACACGUCUCACUAUCUCCCGGUGUGUUAACCCGAAUCAGCUAUGGUCUGUUCCACGGAUUGUAAAAUAUAUUUAAACAACUAUUGAUAACGGAGUGGUUAACUUCGACAGAGUUAGUUUUUUUUGUGUUGUCUGUUAGACGGCUAAGACCGAUCACGCUCCAUUGCCAGAGCUGUUUUUGGCAAAAUUACUACGCUGAGGCAGUAAUGAACCGAAUGAUUUCGAGUUGUCGCAAAGUAUCAAGUCCUGAGAACCCUGGUGGGAUGAUUUUUGGUGCAAGGAAAUAUUGAGUGCUAUACUAUGGCUUCCGAUAUUUCCGCGUCAACACAGCGAGUCAAUGAAGAGCGAGACAUACGAUAGUUUGGAAUGAUUAAUGUAUCUCUAGUAAAGCGACCGUUUGACGAUUUCCGUUUUCAAAAUGUCUAAAUCGUUAAAGGAAUUCGUGACCAUCCAGAAACAGCGGAAUUCAGAAACAGCCAUUCAGAAACAGCGGAAAUACUAUCGUUCCCUAUUUCAGUAAUUGUUUUAUAGAACUUAGAGUAAAAUUAUCGGAAUUGACGAUGUAUUUAUUAAAAGUUUAUCGCUGCAUUAUUGAAAAUAUAGGCGAAUAAUUGUAUCGUUCGAA
This is a long non-coding RNA of Topomyia yanbarensis, 766 nucleotides long. RefSeq lists it as uncharacterized. The record is from RefSeq and is a predicted model, not a curated record. The transcript is spliced from 2 exons. NCBI's taxonomy places the organism in Eukaryota, Metazoa, Arthropoda, Insecta, Diptera, Culicidae.